AGAACGAACGCUGGCGGCAGGCUUAACACAUGCAAGUCGAACGCGUGUAGCAAUACACGAGUGGCGCACGGGUGAGUAACGCGUGGAUAUCUGCCUUUUGGUUCGGAAUAACCCCGGGAAACUGGGGCUAAAUACCGGAUGGUUCCUACGGGAUAAAGAUUUAUCGCCAAAAGAUGAGUCCGCGUACGAUUAGCUAGUUGGUGAGGUAAUGGCUCACCAAGGCGACGAUCGUUAGCUGGUCUGAGAGGACGAUCAGCCACACUGGGACUGAGACACGGCCCAGACUCCUACGGGAGGCAGCAGUGGGGAAUAUUGGACAAUGGGGGCAACCCUGAUCCAGCCAUGCCGCGUGAGUGAUGAAGGCCUUCGGGUUGUAAAGCUCUUUUGGCGGGACGAUGAUGACGGUACCGCAGAAUAAGCCCCGGCUAACUUCGCGCCAGCAGCCGC
Molecule: ribosomal RNA, 447 nt
Filed under: uncultured bacterium
Lineage: Bacteria
Description: SSU rRNA
Rfam family: Bacterial small subunit ribosomal RNA
Source: RNAcentral